This 280-nucleotide long non-coding RNA is filed under the name Nicotiana benthamiana. Its description in RNAcentral is "long non-coding RNA (NBEN_LNC013119)". Lineage: Eukaryota; Viridiplantae; Streptophyta; Magnoliopsida; Solanales; Solanaceae. The record is from RNAcentral.
GCCCAUUCACCUGCCAUGUAUACCACAUAUGAUGCAUCUAUGAUAUGGUUACAUGCGCGAUUGUUAUUAACCUGCAGCCUGGCCGGUGCUUGCGCGGUAAGUUGCUCAGUAAUCUAACUUCGAGCAUAAUUUCCAGAUUGUCUAUUCAAGAUAGUUCAUCUUUGGUUUACAUCAUAGUUGGUUUAGCAAAAUGAUUUAUUGAGUGCCUCCACUGAAUAGCUAAACUAUUGCUUAUGAGAACAAAGUUAUAUAUAUCAGUUUGAUAUACGUUGUAUACNNN